GUGAACGCUGGCGGUAGGCCUAACACAUGCAAGUCGAACGGCAGCACAGUAAGAGCUUGCUCUUCGGGUGGCGAGUGGCGGACGGGUGAGGAAUAAAACCGAAUCUUCUUUUUUGUGGGGGAUUACGUAGGGAAACUUACGCUUAUACCGCAUACGACCUUCGGGUGAAAGCAAGGGAUCCUCGGACCUUUCGCGGAUUAAUGAGCCGAAGUUGGAUUAGCUAGUUGGCGGGGUAAAGGCCCACCAAGGCGACGAUCCGUAGCUGGUCUGAGAGGAUGAUCAGCCACACUGGAACUGAGACACGGUCCAGACUCCUACGGGAGGCAGCAGUGGGGAAUAUUGGACAAUGGGCGCAAGCCUGAUCCAGCCAUACCGCGUGGGUGAAGAAGGCCUUCGGGUUGUAAAGCCCUUUUGUUGGGAAAGAAAAGCAGCAGGUUAAUACCCCGCUGUUCUGACGGUACCCAAAGAAUAAGCACCGGCUAACUUCGUG
This 490-nucleotide ribosomal RNA is filed under the name uncultured bacterium. RNAcentral's name for it is "partial 16S ribosomal RNA". It matches the Rfam family "Bacterial small subunit ribosomal RNA", at positions 29 to 507 of the family's 1533-position model. The record is from RNAcentral.